RNAcentral lists this ribosomal RNA (253 nucleotides) under uncultured bacterium. RNAcentral describes it as "partial 16S ribosomal RNA". It matches the Rfam family "Bacterial small subunit ribosomal RNA", at positions 524 to 776 of the family's 1533-position model. The record is from RNAcentral.
CACGUAGGGCGCAAGCGUUGUCCGGAAUUAUUCGGCGUAAAGAGCUCGUAGGCGGUCUGUUGCGUCCGCUGUGAAAACUCGGGGCUUAACCCCGAGCCUGCAGUGGAUACGGGCAGACUAGAGGUAGGUAGGGGAGAAUGGAAUUCCUGGUGUAGCGGUGAAAUGCGCAGAUAUCAGGAAGAACACCCGUGGCGAAGGCGGUUCUCUGGGACGGUACUGACGCUGAGACGCGAAAGCGUGGGGAGCGAACAGG